AGAUUGAACGCUGGCGGCAGGCCUAACACAUGCAAGUCGAGCGGUAGAGAGGUGCUUGCACCUCUUGAGAGCGGCGGACGGGUGAGUAAUGCCUAGGAAUCUGCCUAGUGGUGGGGGAUAACGUUCGGAAACGGACGCUAAUACCGUAUGUGCCCUUCGGGGGAAAGAUUUAUUGCCAUUGGAGCAGCCCGCGUUGGAUUAGCUAGUUGGUGGGUAAAGGCCCACCAAGGCGACGAUCCAUAGCUGGUCUGAGAGGAUGAUCAGCCACACUGGGACUGGAGACCACGGCCCAGACUCCGUACGGGAGCAGCAGAGGGAAUCUGCGCAAUGGGCGAAAGCCUGGACGCAGCCAUCGCGCGUGAAUGAUGAAGGUUCUUAGGAUUUAGUAAAAUUCGUUACGACCGGGAAG
This 409-nucleotide ribosomal RNA is filed under the name uncultured soil bacterium. Its description in RNAcentral is "bacterial SSU rRNA". It matches the Rfam family "Bacterial small subunit ribosomal RNA", at positions 26 to 447 of the family's 1533-position model. The record is from RNAcentral.